CCUACGGGAGGCUGCAGUGGGGAAUAUUGCACAAUGGGCGCAAGCCUGAUGCAGCCAUGCCGCGUGUGUGAAGCAGGCCUUCGGGUUGUAAAGCACUUUCAGCGGGGAGGAAGGCGUUAAGGUUAAUAACCUUGUCGAUUGACGUUACCCGCAGAAGAAGCACCGGCUAACUCCGUGCCAGCAGCCGCGGUAAUACGGAGGGUGCAAGCGUUAAUCGGAAUUACUGGGCGGAAAGCGCACGCAGGCGGUCUGUCAAGUCGGAUGUGAAAUCCCCGGGCUCAACCUGGGAACUGCAUUCGAAGCUGGCAGGCUAGAGUCUUGUAGAGGGGGGUAGAAUUCCAGGUGUAGCGGUGAAAUGCGUAGAGAUCUGGAGGAAUACCGGUGGCGAAGGCGGCCCCCUGGACAAAGACUGACGCUCAGGUGCGAAAGCGUGGGGAGCAAACAGGAUUAGAUACCCUUGUAGUC
Molecule: ribosomal RNA, 465 nt
Filed under: uncultured Klebsiella sp.
Lineage: Bacteria; Pseudomonadati; Pseudomonadota; Gammaproteobacteria; Enterobacterales; Enterobacteriaceae
Description: bacterial SSU rRNA
Rfam family: Bacterial small subunit ribosomal RNA
Source: RNAcentral